RNAcentral lists this ribosomal RNA (581 nucleotides) under uncultured bacterium. RNAcentral describes it as "bacterial SSU rRNA". It matches the Rfam family "Bacterial small subunit ribosomal RNA", at positions 338 to 917 of the family's 1533-position model. The record is from RNAcentral.
CCUACGGGAGGCAGCAGUGGGGAAUAUUGGACAAUGGGCGAAAGCCUGAUCCAGCAAUUCCGCGUGUGUGAAGAAGGCCUUCGGGUUGUAAAGCACUUUAGUGGGGGAAGAAACAGCUUGGCCACACCAAGCCUUGACGGUACCCCAAGAAUAAGCACCGGCUAACUCUGUGCCAGCAGCCGCGGUAAUACAGAGGGUGCAAGCGUUAAUCGGAUUUACUGGGCGUAAAGGGUGCGUAGGUGGCUAUUUAAGUCGGAUGUGAAAGCCCGGGGCUCAACCUCGGAAUUGCAUUCGAUACUGAGUGGCUAGAGUUCGGUAGAGGGCGGCGGAAUUUCCGGUGUAGCGGUGAAAUGCGUAGAUAUCGGAAGGAACAUCAAUGGCGAAGGCAGCCGCCUGGGCCUGGACUGACACUGAGGCACGAAAGCGUGGGUAGCAAACAGGAUUAGAUACCCUGUAGUCCACGCCGUAAACGAUGAGAACUUGACGUUGGUUCGUUUUACGAAUCGGUGUCGCAGCUAACGCGAUAAGUUCUCCGCCUGGGGAGUACGGCCGCAAGGUUGAAACUUAAAGGAAUUAGACGG